Molecule: transfer RNA, 72 nt
Filed under: Phrynosoma platyrhinos (Desert horned lizard)
Lineage: Eukaryota; Metazoa; Chordata; Lepidosauria; Squamata; Phrynosomatidae
Description: tRNA-OTHER
Source: RNAcentral
GGCAGUGUAGUGCGGUGGUUUGAGUGUUAGACUAUAACUCUGGAGACCUGGGUUUGAUUCCCAGAUUGGCCA